CCUACGGGUGGCAGCAGUGAGGAAUAUUGGUCAAUGGGAGAGAUCCUGAACCAGCCAAGCCGCGUGAGGGAAGACGGCCCUAUGGUUUGUAAACCUCUUUUGUCGGGGGACAAAACCCGGGACGCGUCCCGGUCUGCGUGUCCCCGAAGAAAAAGCAUCGGCUAACUCCGUGCCAGCAGCCGCGGUAAUACGGAGGAUGCGAGCGUUAUACGGAUUUAUUGGGUUUAAGGGGUGCGUAGGCGGACCGUUACGUCAGCGGUAACAUUGCGGGGCUCAACCCCGUCGAGCCGUUGAAACUGGCAGACUUGAGUUGGCGAGAAGUACGCGGAAUGCGCGGUGUAGCGGUGAAAUGCAUAGAUAUCGCGCAGAACUCCGAUUGCGAAGGCAGCGUACCGGCGCCAGACUGACGCUGAGGCACGAAAGCGUGGGGAUCGAACAGGAUUAGAUACCCCUGUAGUC
This 459-nucleotide ribosomal RNA is filed under the name uncultured bacterium. RNAcentral's name for it is "partial 16S ribosomal RNA". It matches the Rfam family "Bacterial small subunit ribosomal RNA", at positions 338 to 795 of the family's 1533-position model. The record is from RNAcentral.